The sequence is a ribosomal RNA, 2955 nucleotides long. It matches the Rfam family "Bacterial large subunit ribosomal RNA". The record is from Rfam.
AAGAAACGAGAUAAGGGCGUAUGGCGGAUGCCUAUGCUCACGGAGGCGAUGAAGGACGUGAUAAGCUGCGAUAAGCCGCGGGUAGAUGCAAAUGCUCUUUGAUCCGCGGAUUUCCGAAUGGGACAACCCGGCCGUCGGAAGGACGGUCAUCGUUAUGUUUUAUUAACGAGGCGAACCGAGGGAACUGAAACAUCUUAGUACCUCGAGGAAAAUAAAAUAAAAUAAUGAUUCCCCCAGUAGUGGCGAGCGACCGGGGAAUAGCCCAAACCACCUGCGUGGCAACGCGCAGUUGGGGUUGUAGGAGCGCGAUAUUGUACAUUUGAUUGUGAGAAGAAUCCUCUGGAAAGAGGUGCCAUAGAGGGUGAUAGCCCCGUAUUCGAAGCAUGAUUAGACAUAGCGUCAUCCUGAGUAGUGCGGGACACGAGUAAUCCUGUGCGAAUCCGCCGGGCCCAUCCGGCAAGGCUAAAUACUCCCGUGAGACUGAUAGUGAACCAGUACCGUGAGGGAAAGGUGAAAAGCACUUCCAUUAGAAGGUUGAAAUAGUUCCUGAAACCAUACGCCUACAAGCGGUCGGAGCAUCGUAAGAUGUGACGGCGUGCCUUUUGCAUAAUGAACCUACGAGUUACCGUCACCGGCAAGGUUAAGGGCCAUGAGGCCUGCAGCCGUAGUGAAAGCGAGCCUUAAUAGGGCGAUAUUGUCCUCUUUUGGGGACAGGACGCACUCUGUGCGUAUUAGUCGUUGGUGGUAGACGCGAAACCAAGUGAUCUACACUUGUCCAGGGUGAAGUUCCGGUAACACGGAAUGGAGGCCCGCACCAAUAAGCGUUGAAAAGCUUCUGGAUGAGAUGAGUGUAGGAGUGAAAGGCCAAUCAAACUUGGAGAUAGCUCGUACUCCCCGAAAGGCAUUUAGGUGCCGCGUGCAGUAUUCCGCAUGAGAGGUAGAGCGACCGAUAGGACGCGAGGGCUUCACCGCCUAUCAAGUCCUGAUGAACUCCGAAUGCUCAUGCGCCGCAGCUGUGCAGUAAGGGUGCGGGUGCUAAGGUCCGUGCCCGAGAGGAGAAGAAUCCGGACCGCCGUCUAAGGUCCCCGAGUUCUGCCUGAGUUAGUCUAACGAAGUCCGGUCCCCGUGACAGCUAGGAUGUUGGCUUGGAAGCAGCCAUUCAUUCAAAGAGUGCGUAACAGCUCACUAGUCGAGGGUCUGGGCGUGGAUAAUAAUCGGGUAUAAGGCAGACACCGAAGACGCGGGAUAGCAAUGAAUAUUAAAAGUAUCGGUAGGGGAGCAUUCCAUCGGCGUUGAAUGCAUGGGGCCGACCUGUGCUGGAGCUUAUGGAAAAGCAAAUGUAGGUAUAAGUAACGAUAAGAGGGGUAAGAUUCCCCUCCGCCGAAAGACUAAGGUUUCCCGGGCAAUGCUGGUCAUCCCGGGGUAAGUCGGGUCCUAAGUCUCAGCCGACUGGCGAUGGCGAUGGCAGAAACGGUUAAUAUUCCGUUACUACCUUCAGGUGCGAUGUGGAGACGGAGCAGUGACACGGCCGCGGAGACACGGAAUUCUCCGUUGAAGGACGUAGGUGUUGAUCGGGGCAGGCAAAUCCACCCCGAGAGCCGAUAUCCGAAAGUAUGCCAUUCCCCUCGGGGCGUGGCAAUAGUGCCGGUAAUCAUACUCCCGAGAAAAUCCGCUAAGCUUUCCCCUGAAGGUACCCGUACCGCAAACGGACACACGUAGUCGGGUAGAAUAUACUAAGGCGUUGAGAGAUUCAUGGUUAAGGAACUAGGCAAAUUGACUCCGUAACUUCGGGAUAAGGGGUCCUCACAUUUGUAUGUGAGGCGCAGAGAAUAGGUCCAGGCAACUGUUUAACAAAAACACAGGGCUGUGCAAACUCGUAAGAUGACGUAUACAGCCUGACACCUGCCCGGUGCCGGAAGGUUAAGAGGAGAGCUCAUUCCUUUACGGAAGAAGGUUUGAAUUGAAGCCCCGGUAAACGGCGGCCGUAACUAUAACGGUCCUAAGGUAGCGAAAUUCCUUGUCGGGUAAGUUCCGACCUGCACGAAUGGUGUAAUGAUCCGGACACUGUCUCAACCAUGAUCUCAGUGAAAUUGUAGUAUCGGUGAAGAUGCCGAUUACCCGCGAUGGGACGAAAAGACCCCGUGAACCUUUACUACAGCUUAGCAUUGACCUUGGUCAUCCGAUGUGUAGGAUAGGCCGGAGGCUUUGAAUCGGGCGCGCCAGCGUCUGUGGAGCCACCGUUGAAAUACGGCCCUUUGGCUGUCUGAGGUCUAACGCGUUUUUUCGCGGACACUGUUUGGUGGGUAGUUUGACUGGGGUGGUCGCCUCCAAAAGCGUAACGGAGGCUUCCAAAGGUGCCCUCGGGCCGAUUGGUAACCGGCCUACUCAGAGUGCAAUGGCAUAAGGGCGCUUGACUGGGAGGCAGACAUGCCGAUCAGGCAGGAAACUGGGGCAUAGUGAUCCGGUGCAAGUGUAUGGAAACUGCAUCGCUCAAAGGAUAAAAGGUACUCCGGGGAUAACAGGCUGAUCCCCCCCAAGAGCUCAUAUCGACGGGGUGGUUUGGCACCUCGAUGUCGGCUCGUCACAUCCUGGGGCUGGAGAAGGUCCCAAGGGUUGGGCUGUUCGCCCAUUAAAGUGGCACGCGAGCUGGGUUCAGAACGUCGUGAGACAGUUCGGUCUCUAUCUAUCGUGGGCGCAGGAGUUUUGCGUGGAUCCGUCACUAGUACGAGAGGACCGUGACGGACGGACCUCCGGUCUGCCGGUUGUGCCGCCAGGUGCACCGCCGGGUAGCUGCGUCCGGUCGGGAUAAGCGCUGAAAGCAUCUAAGUGCGAAGCCCUCCUCAAGAUUAGAACUCCUUUUUCAGGGCCGUCCCAGACGAGGACGUCGAUAGGGUGCAGGUGUAAAGACGGCGACGUCAAAGCCGAGCGCUACUAAUAGCCCGAACCGUUUUUUUC